AGUUUUGCAGUGGCAGUGUCGUAGCCAGUGAGAUUUAUCCAAGGUGCAACUGUUGCUAAUUGAAAACUUUCCCUCUAACAAGUUUCCCAGCCAUCAAGUGUCAUGGACAGUGAGGGCUUUGGGAGUUUGGAGGCAGGAGAGCUG
Molecule: small nuclear RNA, 144 nt
Filed under: Microcebus murinus (gray mouse lemur)
Lineage: Eukaryota; Metazoa; Chordata; Mammalia; Primates; Cheirogaleidae
Description: U4 spliceosomal RNA (ENSMICG00000042132.1)
Rfam family: U4 spliceosomal RNA
About the family: U4 small nuclear RNA (U4 snRNA) is a component of the major U2-dependent spliceosome. The structure of U4 snRNA from yeast and human has been reported.
Source: RNAcentral